Molecule: long non-coding RNA, 832 nt
Filed under: Fukomys damarensis (Damara mole-rat)
Lineage: Eukaryota; Metazoa; Chordata; Mammalia; Rodentia; Bathyergidae
Description: lncRNA (ENSFDAG00000029165.1)
Source: RNAcentral
GCUUAAACGUGCACCUCUUGUGGGCAAAGGAUACCUGUAUUUACAUUUUUAAAAAAAUUUCUCCAUUCUCAUUGUCUCCAUUCAUAAAUUGUCUGGCUUAAACUAGGUACUGUGAAGAAAAGUGACAGCUAACAGUCCUUUGCUUGCUUCUGGUAAGUAAAGGCUUUUGAUAUGCUAAUGAAGAAGAUCCAGAUGGUACAAAGUGCCAUAUAAAGAAGAAGAGAAAGAACAAACUCUGGUGGCAGAUUUGUUUUCUGAGACUUUAGCCUGUGCACAUCCUGCAGGCUGGACUCCCUGGGUCAGCCACGGAGUCCCGGACAUCCUGCUAUUUCCUCUACCAAACAAGGAUCACAGCAACAGGAAAUGGAAGGGACCAGCUGAGGAAUGGAAGGAUUGUGCAUGUUUAAGGAAAGACAUUCUUCUGGACUUGGUACUUGCGGACUUUUAGUAAGCUGAGUGAGUAAAAUUCUCAUGCUGCCGAGUUUGGUGGUGCACGCCUGGAAUCCCAGCACUCUGGAUGCUGAGGCAGAAGAAUCAUGAUGAGUUUGAGAUCAAUGUGGGCUACCUAGUGAGUGCAAGUUGGGCUUGAACUACACGGUGAGACCCUGUCUGAAAACGACAACAAAAGUGUCCAAUGCCGUUAGUUACAAUUCUGAACCUCUAAGAUAAAAGUUCAUGAAAAUACCAUGAUGAUUCCCCAGAUGUGGCCGUCACUCUAAUAACUGCAUGACUCCUUCAUCUGGGCAUUGGUGUAAAUGUACAAGGGGAGCCACAUGGACCAUAGCCAUGUCAAAGACAUGUCUCUCUGUAUGCUUCCAGAAGACUAAUAUCC